GGGGAGGAGUGAGGGGCGGGGAAUCACUGCGAUUGCGGGGGGCGUCCUAGUGGCGAGGAGCUUCCUCCAGCACCGCCGGGUCUGGCGUGAGAUCCCUCCGGACCUCCAGCUGAAGCCCGCCACCGCGCGCGGCCGGGAGCGAGGAUGGAGAGGCUGGUGUUCAGGAGGCUCUUCUGUCAUCUGUUCACCUGCAAUCUGAUCUGGUUCUUGUCAGCUCUGAUGCUAUGCGAGGCACAAGUGGUGACCCAGGAUGUAAGAGAGCCGCUGAACACACCUGCUUCUUUAAGCUGCUCUCUGCAAAAUCCCCAAGAAGUCUUGAUUGUGACAUGGCAAAAAAUCAAGGCUGUAAGUCCGGAAAACAUGAUCACCUUCAGCGAGAACCAUGGGGUUGUAGUCCAGCCUGCCUAUAAGGACAAGAUAAACAUCACCCAGCUGGGACUCAUGAACUCAACCAUUACCUUCUGGAAUACCACCUUGGAGGAUGAGGGGUGUUACAAGUGCCUCUUCAAUACCUUUGGUUCUGGGAAGAUCUCAGGAGUAGCCUGCCUCACCCUCUCUGUACAGCCCACAGUUUUCCUUCACUACAAAUUCUCUGAAGACCACCUAAAUAUCACUUGCUCUGCCAAUGCUCGCCCAGCCCCUGUGAUCUCCUGGAAGGUCUCUGGGUCGGGGAUUGAGAACAGUACUGAGAUUCUCUCACACCCCAAUGGGACAACAUCUGUCACCAGCAUCCUCCAGGUCAAAGACCCCAAGAGUCAGGUGGGGAAGGAGGUGAUCUGCCAGGUGCUGUACCUGGGGACUGUGACCAACUACAGGGAAACGGUGAACAAAGGUAAGAGAGAGUGGGCCGAGAUGGCGGUGGUCACAUCUGCAGACACACGCGUGGAAGGCGCUGAAUGCUCUGCAGAGCCUCUCAGCCUCUUAGCAAAGGAGCUGAUAAGAGACAGAAUGGGGCUUUUGGUUUUCAGUUCCACUGUUGUUAAGUAUUGUUUCCCUGGUAAUUCUUCUGGUCUUAAUCUCAAUUCUACUGUACUGGAAACGCCGUCGGAACCAAGACCGAGGCAACCACACUCUUGUCAGAAGUGGACAUGAGGUGGAGGUGGAGAUACGGGGCUGGGUAGAGAGAAAAGCUGCUGGGCUUUGCUUCAACACAAGCAGGGGCCCUACUGCACCAUCCAGGAUGAUCUGGCACUUCCUUAUGCUGAGGACAAGCCCAAAGGAAAAAAAACACACAAAAGUUAAAGUCUUUUCUAUUUAGCAUCAACUUUCUGAAUACAGUCCAGCAGCAGAAAGGCACUGAAACGCAGCUGCUCGGCUGAUACACUUCAAAUCCAGGAUCCUGGAUCUGGUGGUGGUGUUUAGCUUGUAUGUAGUAAUUCCCUUAACUUGUAUUGGUUUCCCUUCUUAUAAAUCAAAGACAAUCCCGUAAAUAGCUCACAUAAAAUUAAGUCAGAUGCUGGCUUAAAUUAAACGCUCUUAAGUAAUGUGUUGACUAAUAAACCAGAUGGCUCUCAGGUAAGAAGCAUUAAAAUCUCAUUGAUGGGGAAGAAGUUGGAGGGAAGCACAUGGAUACCUUCAUGGGUGAGUAGCACUGGCCUGGACCAGUGUUUGUGAAAUGUAGCCUAAAGGCAGCCUAGAAUUGGAUUCCCCCUUUUCACUUGUCCCAGUGCAUUCUAUGAGACCAAGCCAGUUCUGGGGCUGCCCAUGCAUGGUUGGAACCACUUGGGGAAAGGAGACACUUUUCUCUACUGUGUCUUAGGACUAACCUCAAUUUACAAAUCCCUUGAAAAGAGAGAAUCUAUUCCUCAAGGGAAGCCUACGCUUACCAAGUUGUAUUUGAUUUGACCGGGCCCUAUCCCCAAAGUGUCAUCGGAAGCCAACAUCUUGUAUAAACAAAGGUCAGCAACAGUUUGAGGUCUAGCAUGUCCGGAACUGACUGGCACCUGUGCCCCUGGGAAGGCUGCGUCUCCUCGUGCGUGCCGAGGGGCGCAGUAAGAGACUGAGUAAGAGUCAGAAGUCAGAGUCAGAAGAGAUUUCAGAAAUAAGAAAACAGGGCUCAACAUGUCAGAUGGCUCGCUGAAAUCACACAAACCUCAAUCCUUUACCAGGACACAGGAGAGAACCAGGCAACAGGAAUUCCCAACAUAGCUACAGACCAAAGACUCUUAUGCAGCAUGAUGGAAUCUGCUUGAGGGUGCUGGCUCAGCCAAGAAAAACUUUUCUCAAUUUAAAUAUAGCUUCAAGACAAUGGGGCUUUACUGAAACCCCAGACUUCCCUGAACUGCCUCCCUCUGUGUGAGGCUCAAUGCUGUUCCUAUCACUGGUUUUUGAUGUACCUCCAGCUUCCUUGGCAGUGAACAGGUAAACAACUGGUUUGAUAGAUAAUAUGUAGUUUUAACCUGAUGCUUAAAUUUUGGAAAACUCUUUCCCUUGGAUAGAAUAGUUUUGAUUGUCUUCAGCAAAGGUAUUUUUUGAGGGGAGAAUGUUGACGGGAAAGAGAGAGUGAGGGCGAGGGAGUAAGUGAGCACAUUCUUGGGUAGGGAAGGGAAAGUUUCCAGACAUAUCAGGUUAGAAACAAAAACAAGAAUACCCCCAAACCAUUUAAGAAGCUAACACUUAUAAGGGUAGACUUGAAUGAAUUUCCACUCACUCUCAUCAAGUUUCAGAAGCUAAGCAUAUCAGAGAGAACAAUUCAAAAGUGGUGAAAAGAGAAAGAGAAAGAAAGCAAGUGAUCUCACAAGUGUGGGGGCUGAGAUGAAACAGAGGUAUUCGAUGAAGUCGUGAUAACUGGUUUUUAUACCAAUGAAGUGUCUAUGAAUUUUCUGGCCCUACAGUGGUUAGAGAAUGACACUGCAUUUCUCUUUACUGUUUUAUACGUGUAUUUAUACUAGUUGUGUCCAUGGCAAUCAGAACAGCAGCCUGUGUCUUGCAGUGGGUACCAUUUUAUCAAGCACUGUGGGUAGUCACCCAACUGUUCAGGGUCUGGAGAGAUUGCAGCAGAGGGAGGCACUGAAAAAAUUCGUCUCUUAGAGAAAUGUAACACUUAAUGGCAGACAGAAUAAACCUACUUGCAUGUAUUUAAAAACAACUUGUGAAAUUUCGUGAAGUAAUGUCAUGAAUGGGAAAUAAAUUUAGAGAUGUAUUUAUUAAAAUUCAAUUUAUACU
Molecule: non-coding RNA, 3165 nt
Organism: Vicugna pacos (alpaca)
Lineage: Eukaryota; Metazoa; Chordata; Mammalia; Artiodactyla; Camelidae
Source: RefSeq, a predicted model, not a curated record